This 545-nucleotide ribosomal RNA is filed under the name uncultured bacterium. RNAcentral's name for it is "partial 16S ribosomal RNA". It matches the Rfam family "Bacterial small subunit ribosomal RNA", at positions 355 to 893 of the family's 1533-position model. The record is from RNAcentral.
UGGGGAAUUUUGGACAAUGGGCGAAAGCCUGAUCCAGCAAUGCCGCGUGUGUGAAGAAGGCCUUCGGGUUGUAAAGCACUUUUGUCCGGAAAGAAAUCCUUGGCUCUAAUACAGUCGGGGGAUGACGGUACCGGAAGAAUAAGCACCGGCUAACUACGUGCCAGCAGCCGCGGUAAUACGUAGGGUGCAAGCGUUAAUCGGAAUUACUGGGCGUAAAGCGUGCGCAGGCGGUUUGCUAAGACCGAUGUGAAAUCCCCGGGUUCAACCUGGGAACUGCAUUGGUGACUGGCAGGCUAGAGUAUGGCAGAGGGGGGUAGAAUUCCACGUGUAGCAGUGAAAUGCGUAGAGAUGUGGAGGAAUACCGAUGGCGAAGGCAGCCCCCUGGGCCAAUACUGACGCUCAUGCACGAAAGCGUGGGGAGCAAACAGGAUUAGAUACCCUGGUAGUCCACGCCCUAAACGAUGUCAACUAGUUGUUGGGGAUUCAUUUCCUUAGUAACGUAGCUAACGCGUGAAGUUGACCGCCUGGGGAGUACGGUCGCAAGA